GACGAACGCUGGCGGCGUGCUUAACACAUGCAAGUCGAACGGAAAGGCCUGUCCUUCCUUGUGUUGGACGGGUACUCGAGUGGCGAACGGGUGAGUAACACGUGAGUGAUCUGCCCCCAACUUGGGUAUAAGCCUGGGAAACUGGGUCUAAUUCCCGAUAGGACUGCAGGGUGGUGCCUGUGGUGGAAAACGAUUUUCUAGUGGUUGGGGAUGAGCUCGCGGGCUAUCAGCUUGUUGGUGGGGUAAUGGCCUACCAAGGCGGCGACGGGUAGCCGGCCUGGGAGGGUGGACGGCCACAUUGGGACUGAGAUACGGCCCAGACGCCGACGGGAGGCAGCAGUGGGGGAUAUUGCACGAUGGGCGGAAGCCUGAUGCAGCGACGCCGCGUGGGGGAUGACGGCCUUCGGGUUGUAAACUCCUUUCGACCGCGAGGAAGCCGCCUGGUUGGAAGGGUGGUGACGGUAGUGGUAGAAGAAGCACUGGCUAACUACGUG
This 494-nucleotide ribosomal RNA is filed under the name uncultured bacterium. RNAcentral's name for it is "partial 16S ribosomal RNA". It matches the Rfam family "Bacterial small subunit ribosomal RNA", at positions 28 to 507 of the family's 1533-position model. The record is from RNAcentral.